Molecule: ribosomal RNA, 442 nt
Filed under: uncultured bacterium
Lineage: Bacteria
Description: partial 16S ribosomal RNA
Rfam family: Bacterial small subunit ribosomal RNA
Source: RNAcentral
CCUACGGGUGGCAGCAGUGGGGAAUAUUGGGCAAUGGGCGCAAGCCUGACCCAGCAACGCCGCGUGACGGAAGAAGGCCCUCGGGUUGUAAACUUCUUUUCUAUAGGACGAAGAAGUGACGGUACUAUAGGAAUAAGCCACGGCUAACUACGUGCCAGCAGCCGCGGUAAUACGUAGGUGGCGAGCGUUAUCCGGAUUUACUGGGUGUAAAGGGCGUGUAGGCGGGAGAGCAAGUCAGAUGUGAAAACUACAGGCUUAACCUGUAGCCUGCAUUUGAAACUGUUCUUCUUGAGUGAUGGAGAGGCAGGCGGAAUUCCUAGUGUAGCGGUGAAAUGCAUAGAUAUCACACAGAACACCGAUUGCGAAGGCAUCUCACGAAUCCGCGAUUGACGCUGAUGCACGAAAGCGUGGGUAUCAAACAGGAUUAGAUACCCGAGUAGUC